UUUUUUAAGUUCUGAGUUUUGUCUGUGUUUUUAGCCUCUGUUGUUGCUACAGUUCCUGUGAUCUGGGGGUCUGUUGGAGCGGACUCAGCAGAUCUGGUCUUGGAGGGAGGGGCUUGGUCUGGGUUUUUACCAGAAUUUGGUGGAGGACCGAGCAGACUGGGUCCCCUCUUCCUCUCACACGACUCCACAGCUCUGCACAGAUCCACAGGUCUCAAUCAUGGACGAUUUGGACUUUGAGCGGCGCCGGGAGCUGAGGAGGCAGAAGCGGGAGGAGAUGCGCCUGGAGGCUGAACGGAUGAUGAGGAACGAUGAUGACGAGGAGGAGGCUGCCCGCGAGAGGAGGCGCAGGGCGCGCCAGGAGAGGCUGAGGAGCAGGGAGGGCGAGGAGCCCAGCAGCCAGCCGGAGAGCAAGGUCGUCACCAACAGCCACAGCGUGACCGAGUCCGUGUCCGUGAGCAGCUCCUACGGAGGUGGCGGAGACGACGAGGACCAGGCCCUGCUGGACCGCAUGGCCAAGCGGGAGGAGAGGCGGCAGAGACGCAUGAAGGAGGCGCUGGAGAAGCAGAGGCAGCUGGACCCCACCGCCACGGAGGGCACCGAGAGAAACGACACAGAGGAGGAGAGGCCCUCCUGGCGUCGUCACCGCGACGAGGAGGAGAAGGUGGUGACGAACAGCGUGAAGCCAGACGAGCCCAAAGAGGAGGAGGAGGAGGAGGCUGCUCCGGAGAGAGGAGGGGAGGAGGAGGAGCAGAAAGUCGAAGUUGAGGAAAUCGAACCGAGAAGGUCUAACCUGAGAGAGCAGGCCGAAACCGAGGAGCCUAAAACACAACAGAAGGGACUCGCUGAAGGAGAAACGGUAGUCAGUGAGGGUUCAAAUCAGGCCCAGUCAGCAAAUUCAGAGGCUGAGGAGGACGCAGUAGCAUCAGGGGAGGAUGAAGAGGUACCUGAGGAUGAUAAUGUAGAGCCUGGGUCACUCAGACGUGGCUCUGAGGAAGAGUUUGAGGUAUCUGAGGAUAAUGAGGUGAACGAGAGAGGCGGGUUCCAGGAGGACAGGGAGGAUCAGUGGAAGCACAACGGAGGGCUGCACGAGGAGGCGGCUCCCAAACAGCACAGGAAGCCUGAGAGGACCCCCAGCCGCGGCAGCGUGCGCUCGGCCGAGGCCAGCGACGAGCAGGACGAGGACGCCCGCCUGGAGGCGGAGCGCAAGCUGGAGGAGCUGAAGCGCCGCCGCGACGACGCCGAGAGCGAGGAGUUCGAGAGGAUGAGGCAGAAGCAGCAGGAGGCCGAGGCCGAGCUGGAGGAGCUGAGGAAGAAGAGGGAGGAGAGGAGGAAGGUGCUGGAGGAGGAGGAGAGGCAGCGCAAGCAGGAGGAGGAGGGAAAGAAAGCCAGAGAGGAGGAGGAGAAAAGGAAGAUGAAGGAGGAGAUUGAAAAACGAAGAGCAGAAGCUGCUGAGAAGAGGCAGAAGGCCGACGACGCUCCGGACGGGGAGGGCAAACCGUUCAAAUGCGUCAGCCCUCGUGGCUCUUCUCUGAAGAUCGGAGAGAGAGCAGAGUUUCUGAACAAGUCGGCUCAGAAAAGCACGAUGAAGGCGUCUCAUUCUCCUGUGGUGUCCAAGAUAGACAACAGGCUGGAGCAGUACACCUCAGCUGCUCAGAGAGAAAACAAGGAGUCCCGGCCUCCUCGCUCCGCGGCUUCAGACCUCCCUCUGGUCACCGACGUGCGGAACAUCAAGAGCAUGUGGGAGAAGGGCGACGUGUUCGGCUCACCUGGGAGCGGCGGCAGCGUGUUUAAGGAAGCAGCUGUGAUAAAGACGGGCGUGGCGGGCCGCAUCAACGACUGGCUGAGCAAAACCCCAGAGAGUGGCAAGACGUCAGGAGGAAGGCCAACGGACCUGAAACCRGUCGAUGUCACCAACAAGAGGAGUCUAUGGGAAAACAAAGGCGCCUCUCCAACAAAGAACUCUCAUAGCUAGUUGACCUCAGCGUUCAGUCUGGAAUAAUCCCGCAGAGAUGGCGGGCAGAGGCGAGACCAAAUCAGUCGCCAACGGCAUGGGGCACUAAAGGAGCCGCCGACAGCUGGGGGACCACGACAAUCCAAGACUCUUCCUUUGACUUUUUAUUUGUUUGAUUAUUAUUAUUUUUCACAAGAACCAAAUAAUGAUCCCAGAAGGGGAACACACGAACACAGACACACACAGACCACGGAGGGACACAAGUCCUCGCACUGUAACUGAAACACCAUCAGCAGAUUAUCGUAGGGUUGCCAAGUAUAAUGCUUUUGCACAAAAAGUUCUUAUGUGUUUAAAAAAAAUGCUGUGAAAUCGGAUCAUUUGGACCCACUCUUUACUACUCUGGAUAAUAUUUAAACAGUUUUUUAUUGCCGGCCCUCAUCGGCUUGAUCAGCAGUGUUUGUUACAAAAAAGUGGAGGAAAAUAACGUUUUAGCUUUUCGAAAGUUUUUUUUUUUAGAUAUACGUCGACAAAACCCUAAAAAACAAAGGCUGCAUCUGAGUAUGUAGA
RNA transcript from Austrofundulus limnaeus, 2518 nucleotides. It is a transcript of the gene named non-muscle caldesmon, with no coding region annotated. The transcript has 17 exons. NCBI's taxonomy places the organism in Eukaryota, Metazoa, Chordata, Actinopteri, Cyprinodontiformes, Rivulidae. The record is from RefSeq and is a predicted model, not a curated record.